This 254-nucleotide ribosomal RNA is filed under the name uncultured bacterium. RNAcentral's name for it is "partial 16S ribosomal RNA". It matches the Rfam family "Bacterial small subunit ribosomal RNA", at positions 524 to 776 of the family's 1533-position model. The record is from RNAcentral.
UACGAAGGGGGCUAGCGUUGCUCGGAAUCACUGGGCGUAAAGCGCACGUAGGCGGACUCUUAAGUCGGUGGUGAAAUCCUGGAGCUCAACUCCAGAACUGCCUCCGAUACUGGGAGCCUUCGAGUCCGGGAGAGGUGAGUGGAACUGCGAGUGUAGAGGUGAAAUUCGUAGAUAUUCGCAAGAACACCAGUGGCGAAGGCGGCUCACUGGCCCGAUACUGACGCUGAGGCACGAAAGCGUGGGGAGCAAACAGG